GCCCAGGACGCCGGUCCUCGGCGCGGCGGCCCGGCCGCGGUGGGCCGGGGCUGGGGUCCGAGCCGAGCCC
Molecule: microRNA precursor, 70 nt
Filed under: Vicugna pacos (alpaca)
Lineage: Eukaryota; Metazoa; Chordata; Mammalia; Artiodactyla; Camelidae
Description: miRNA (ENSVPAG00000017502.1)
Source: RNAcentral